UACGUAGGGAGCAAGCGUUGUCCGGAAUUAUUGGGCGUAAAGAGCUUGUAGGCGGUUUGUCGCGUCUGCUGUGAAAUUUCGGGGCUCAACCCCGAACUUGCAGUGGGUACGGGCAGACUAGAGUGUGGUAGGGGAGACUGGAAUUCCUGGUGUAGCGGUGAAAUGCGCAGAUAUCAGGAGGAACACCGAUGGCGAAGGCAGGUCUCUGGGCCAUAACUGACGCUGAGAAGCGAAAGCGUGGGGAGCGAACAGG
RNAcentral lists this ribosomal RNA (253 nucleotides) under uncultured bacterium. Its description in RNAcentral is "partial 16S ribosomal RNA". It matches the Rfam family "Bacterial small subunit ribosomal RNA", at positions 524 to 776 of the family's 1533-position model. The record is from RNAcentral.